GACGAACGCUGGCGGCGUGCUUAACACAUGCAAGUCGAACGGUACCUAAUGAGUAGUAAUACGAGUCAGGUAUAGUGGCGGACGGGUGAGUAACGCGUGAGCAAUCUGCCUUUAAGAGGGGGAUAACACCGGGAAACCGGUGCUAAUACCGCAUAAGACCACAAGUGUCACAUGGCACAGGGGUAAAAGGAGCAAUCCGCUUAGAGAUGAGCUCGCGUCCCAUUAGCUAGUUGGUGAGGUAACGGCUCACCAAGGCGACGACGGGUAGCCGGCCUGAGAGGGUGACCGGCCACACUGGGACUGAGACACGGCCCAGACUCCUACGGGGGGCAGCAGUGGGGAAUCUUGCACAAUGGGCGAAAGCCUGAUGCAGCGACGCCGCGUGAGCGAAGAAGGCCUUCGGGUUGUAAAGCUCUGUCUGGAGGGACGAAGGAAGUGACGGUACCUCCGGAGGAAGCCACGGCUAACUACGUG
This 474-nucleotide ribosomal RNA is filed under the name uncultured bacterium. RNAcentral's name for it is "bacterial SSU rRNA". It matches the Rfam family "Bacterial small subunit ribosomal RNA", at positions 28 to 507 of the family's 1533-position model. The record is from RNAcentral.